Molecule: long non-coding RNA, 2761 nt
Organism: Cyprinus carpio carpio
Lineage: Eukaryota; Metazoa; Chordata; Actinopteri; Cypriniformes; Cyprinidae
Source: Ensembl
AUCAGGCCGGUAACAGAUACAUUCAGUCAAGUUGUAAAAAUCACAUACAUAAAUCAACCUGUAUGAGUAUUAAAGAUUUAUGUUAUUAGGGUGUCCUCUACUGACGUUUAUUAUAUUUUAGAGGUAUUCUCAAGAGACGCCCCACAGGGGAUACCCAACCUUUAAAAACUAAAAGUUUUGUCAUACUCGUUACCUGCAAAUUAUCUUCAAGCCGUGCUACGUUACAAUCCAACAAUAGCGAAACAAUGCCUGACAAAUACCAGGGUGAGUUUUUUUAUUUAUCUAUUUAUUUAUUUAUUUAUUUAUACAAAUGAUUUAAAUAUAUUUUAAAGUGAAUAUUUGUUUAAUGUGUCGUGGUUGAUUUCUAGGUGGUUUUGAGAAUCAGGACUUCGAUGAAGGUUUGGAUCAGAUCCUUGAAGAGUUAUUUGAUGAGAACGUGUUGUUUGUCUGUGAUGAACCCGGUGCUGUUAAUAACGACGAACAAGCUGUUGUCAACAAUCAGGAGCUGAUAACCCCGCCAGAAAUCGUAGCACAAGAGGUUGAGAUUAGCGCCGAAUCACAACACGCCCUAGGACACGUCACAAAUCCUGCCUCCGCAGACGCACCGGCUCCCGAGGGAGCUUCUCACAAACUCCCAGAUAUCUCAAGCGUUCGCACCGAAGAUAGCGUUACGUGUAGGCCGCGACACUCGGAGGGUCAGGGGGUGAAACGUUUGAGGUUACCGGAGGGGGGAACGGACGAUAUACCAACCACCAGUCGUUUAAGGACUUCGGAGAAUAACGAGCAAGGAUAUGACGAAGGAGGGCUAACAGCCUGGAGCGAUUCUAUGGUGAGCGCCUGGGAUCGUGCGUCUUUUAACGAUUCGGCAAGCGAGGAGGAGACGGAAGAGCUACCUAACGAGGACCCUCAAGAGCUGUUCCGUGAACGUGAUUUAAAUAGAAGGCUUGAUUAUGAUAUGCUUCGCCGUGUUAAUCGACGGUUUGACACACUUUUCGAUUUGAGCGGUCAAGCAUUGUCCUAUCGGGGUGCAGAAGAGAUCGUCGGUAAUGCACAAAGUGAUGUGGUGGCGAUUUUGAGGAACAUCAUUGAGUGUCAACAACAGCUCAACGAAUCCUUGCGUCACGCGGCUGAAUUUUGGAGAAGUUGCCACGAACAGCUAUAUGGUGAAUUUCGACAGUUUCAACAGCGCAUGAGCGGGGUACCGGGAGAAAUCCACCAGGUACAAGUUGAACAAAAUUUAUCUGUUAAUGCUCUUACUCUGAUCACGGAACGUUUAAAUCUAAUGCAAAGAAUGUUAUCAGAUUUGUACCGGCGUGAUCACCCUUGAUAUGUAUUGUAUUGUAUUGUUGUUUUUUAUCGUUAUUAAUUGCUUCGAUUCGCUAUUACCACCAAAUAUUUCUUACAUUAUUGUUUGUUAUUUCUUACAUGUAUUAUUGUUUUGUUCUUGGUACUGAAUUAUCAUUAGUUUCUUUCAUUUAUUAAUAUCGUCUGUUGUCAUUGAUUUAUACCGUAUUGCAUGUUAUUGUUUCCCACAUUAGGCGUUGUUUUACUUGUGGAGAAAAUGGGGUUUUGAAUUUAUACCUGCUGUAUGUUUCUGUUUUUUGUCAUCUAUAUCGCAUUGUGAAUCGUUGUUGGUGUUUUCAGGAGUAUGCACGCUUGUCUUUAAAAUUUAAAAAAGGUGUGUUUUCGAUUUAAAAUAAAUAAAAAUAAUAAUUCAAAAAUGAGUAGUAAAAGAUGUCACGAUGAUUUACAUACCCACACUUCAGAAGAUGAUCAGAGACCAUUAAGGCCCAGAUAUGAUUUUCAAAACAAUACACAACAGUUACAUGAAAUUAUUAACAAUCAUUUACAGAUGUUACCACCUAAUCCUCUUAACAUGAUAGAUAGAUUACACGAACUUAUAGACGAACAACACGAAUGGUUGGGUGCCGCUGUAGACAGCGACGAUCAGGUCGGCGCUGGACCUUCUAAUAACGAAUCCUCAGGUUACGAUCCCACAGCUCCUGAUAUGGGUCUCAGUCAGCAAUACAUAGAUAGACUAGUGAGAGAAGGAGGUAGUGUGGGUGAUUUUACGAUUGUCCCAAGACCUCGAUUUAAUGGUUUAGAAAUUCGCAGAACUUUAAAUUUUCGUGAAAUAGCGACAGAUGAUUUUGCAGCGUAUAAUAUAUUUUUACAUGAUAUUUUGAACGAGAUUGUUACGCUUUCCAGAUUAUUAGCUGGCGAGGGGGGUUUUUUUAACAUCUCUCUGCAAGGUGCAAGUCUGCCCACAGAUAUUAAUGCCGUUCUAACGCCUGAUAACAAUCACGACGUUAAUGUAUUUGUAGACCAAAUCGAACGAACCGUUCAAAGCAAUACGGAUGUGGCUUUUGAUACCGCUUUAGAGUUAUGUGUCUCUGUAGCGCGAAACAAACAAGGUGGUGUUGGUGCGCGUAGGAAGUUGACAGAACUGGCGCAUAAUCAGGUCAUACAGAAAAAUAGAAUGCAUUUGUUUGUCCCCCAAAACGUCACAGACAAUAUGUGUUUUAGUGCGUGCAUAGCUCACUUUCUAAAUCCGCAGUGUAACGACGCUGAAUUGAUGACAUUAACCAGAAAUAUACAUACCGAUCUGGGUUACGAUCCACAAGAUAAAAUUGCGUUGCAUGAUGUUUCUAAAUUUGAAGCAUUUCUAGACUUGAAAAUAGUUAUCUUUCACAGAUCUGAUUCAGGUAAAUUGGAAGUGUAUAAAAAUACGGAUGAGCCGCAUCACAAGACGUUGCAUUUG